This is a non-coding RNA of Peromyscus maniculatus bairdii (prairie deer mouse), 984 nucleotides long. NCBI's taxonomy places the organism in Eukaryota, Metazoa, Chordata, Mammalia, Rodentia, Cricetidae. The record is from RefSeq and is a predicted model, not a curated record.
UGUCUUCAUUUGAACAAUGAGAACAUCAAGCAUUUUAUGCUGUGGAGGAUAAUGAUGUAAUCCCGCAAGUCAAUGCAAAAUAAUUUGACAAUGGACAAAAUAAAAUAAGAUCCCUCACAGAUUCACAACGUCAUAAUAUUUUUGUGAAAAUCCAUCCAGCAUUUUGAUCAUCAAUUAAAGUGGAUUUUCUUGAGGCUAGUUAUAAAUACAAUUUUGAUCCUGAAGAGGGACUUUUCCCAGAUGAUCUUCUGUUACAAGAACUAAUGCAGAAGGGGAACUUGGAGAUCUGAAGAGCUGAUUCUGGUCAAGAUCACAGCAUCUUGUUGGGAUGUUUCAGAACAAAAUUUUUCAUCUUUAAGAAUUGAAGAAAACAUAAAUUUUGAUCCAAUAAACUUCACGGGGAGGAAAUCAAGAUUACACAAGCUAAUCAGGAGGAGAGGUAAUUUCCUUCAUCAUACACUGUAAGGCCGGAAUCACUCAAUGAAAUCCAACUUCUUUACAGCUCCACCUGCAAAAUCAAGAAUAUCAUAUUGGAAACAAAGCAGACAGUGACACUCCAAGAUUGACGGCUAAUUUUGUCCACCUGUUCCCAGAAUUGCUGCAAGACUUGGAUAAUCUAUGUGUUCAUCAGCAGAUGUGCAGAGAGCAAGUAUUUCAUUCACAUGAUGUAUAUUGCUAUUCAGCAACCGAAAGUGAUAGGAGCAGCCAAGCAGCUGUGUCUCAAAAGCAUUCUGUUGAGAAGAAAAUCAUACAAGAAGUUUAUCUCAGAUGAGUCUGUCUAAAAAUUCAGAAUAGAGAAAGCUGAUGUUUAGAGACAGAAAAUAGAUGAGAGGUUAUCUGCAGCGAGAGCUUGAUCUUGUGAUAGCAAAGAGAGACAAAUAACCCUCUGUGAGAUCUACACUUAGUUUGGCUUGGAGAAGUUGAGAUUUUGGUGUUGGUUGUGGAGUAUGCACAGAUUUUUAUUCAAGUACAAUUGAUCAUGUG